GCCGCGCGUGCGCACUUGGCGCGGGGUGGGGGGGAAGGAGGGGCCCGCGCUCCUACCUGUAGGUGGCCAACGCCGGGCGCUGGGCCGCCGCUCCUGCCUUGCACGUUAGAGAGCCGGUACAUGCAGGUGGGAAGCUCCACACGGAGAGGCGCGCCGCGCCCGUGAUAAGGUUUUACCUGGUACAUCGGCAUGGCGGAACCAAAGCAAGAGAGGGUGGCGCGUGCCAAACACCAACGCUCAGAAACCGUCCGAGGCUACGACUGGGGGCGGACAUCUCCCUUGUGACCCUGCUGCGGUCGUUCGGGAAAAAAAAAAAAAGCAGUCCGGUGUGCUCUGAUUGGCCCAUGCUCUUUGACGUCACGGACUCGACCUUUGACGGAGCUAAUAGGCGAAAAGGAGAGACGGGAAGUAUUUUUUCCGCCCCGCCCAGAAAGGGUGGAGCACAACGUCAAAAGCAGCCAAUGGGAGCCCAGGAGGCGGGGCGCCUGUGGGAGUCGUGGAGGGAACUUUCCCAGGCCCCGAGGCGGAUCGGGUAUUGAGUCCAUGGAGCGAGCUGAGAGCUAGAGUACAGAACCUGCUAAGGCCAUCAAACCUAUCGAUCGGAAGUCAGUCCAUCAGAUUUGCUCUGGGCCGGUGGUACUGAGUCUAAGCACUGCGGUGAAGGAGUUAGUAGAAAACAGUCUGGAUGCUGGUGCCACCAAUAUUGAUCUAAAGCUUAAGGACUAUGGAGUGGAUCUCAUUGAAGUUUCAGACAAUGGAUGUGGGGUAGAAGAAGAAAACUUUGAAGGCUUAACGAUGUCACCAUUUCUACCUGCCACGCAUCGGCGAAGGUUGGGACUCGACUGGUGUUUGAUCACGAUGGGAAAAUCAUCCAGAAAACCCCCUACCCCCACCCCAGAGGGACCACAGUCAGCGUGAAGCAGUUAUUUUCUACACUACCUGUGCACCAUAAGGAAUUUCAAAGGAAUAUUAAGAAGACGUGCCUGUUUCCCCUUCGCCUUCUGCCGUGAUUGUCAGUUUCCUGAGGCCUCCCCAGCCAUGCUUCCUGUACAGCCUGCAGAACUGGACCAUUGCAAGCUGCAGAAAAUGAGAAGACCCUACUGACCAGCCCAAGAAGACAGAUGACAAGAUACUGAGGAUGGCCGUAUAAGAAAAUAAACAACUUGCUAAAACUGCUGAAACUCCCUCUGCUUGUGAGAUUUAAAAAAACUGGCUGAAAUUGGUUGGAACCAACAUGUCCAAUGGAGUCUGAAUAGAAAGAGCUUGCUGACAUCACAGCCCGAAUUUCCACCACAUUUCAUACUAACUCCCCCUGAAUUUGCAUAUGCAAACCACAAGCAAGCAUGAUCAAACAGACAACUGCGCGUGUCCGAGGACUUUCCAGAUCUCCCCUUUCCUUCCACCAAUCACUUACUAAUCUGAGAAUCCAUCCCCUAAUAAAAUCACUGCCUUAAAGCCUGCACAGGAAGACAAAUUUGAGCUGGACUCAGUGUCUCUUUAUUAGUCGACUUGCAAUAAAAAAGCUUUCUUUUCCCCCCUCAAAAACCCUAUGUCAAUUAGUAUUGGCUUCCAGAGCAUCAGGUAGUGAGCCCCUUUUGCUCAGUAACAGAGCUUAAGGUGAAUAAAAAAGGCAAAUAAUGAUAUGGUUCAAGACAUCAUUACGAAAGCAUGGCUGGAAAACUGCUAGCCUUACCAAGUGCAUAAAAAACAUGAAAAUUAUUUAUUGAUAAGCAUUAGUCAUAAAAGUGUACUCUACCUCAAUUUAAAUACUGCUUAUGUGUGGAUUACACAAACAACCAUGUAUGCAGUAGCUACUUCAAAGGACUUUCUUUUUAAUAUUUAAAAAGUUAGUUCACUGAAUCAUAGAGUUGUUAGAUAAAAUCUUGUCUUCGUGAGAACAGCUUUUGAAAAUAUUUUAAUAUUUUAUUACUCAGCAAAAAUAGCCAUGAAGCACUGAGGGGAGAUUUAGUUUGGGAAUGGAAUGAGAGAAUGCCUGCUGCGGUUCAUUAUCAUGACUCCACCCAUUCCUUAUGACUCUAUGAUGCUUUAUGGUAUUUUCACAUAAAAGUUCUCAUUUUUGCCAGACAAAACCCUUUGAGGAGGCUAGGCACGGUGGCUCAUGCCUGUAAUCCCAGCUCUUUGGGAGGCUGAGGCGGG
This 2157-nucleotide long non-coding RNA is filed under the name Homo sapiens (human). RNAcentral describes it as "HSALNT0341387". The record is from RNAcentral. Lineage: Eukaryota; Metazoa; Chordata; Mammalia; Primates; Hominidae.